CUUGGUUCCGCUUUACGUCCUUGUGUUGUUGAUCACUGGAAGGUAUUCGAUGAGGCUUUACGUUGCUUAUAACUCUCUCUAUGUAUAUCUUGGGGAUGCUGCUUGCGAUGCAAAUUAGGUUUGUUGGGUUUCAACAUGUUCAAUCUAGAGAGCAUAUGGCUGUCUUCUUGUUGAUGCAGGUGUUUUACUUCCUCGACUGGGUGAAGUACCAGUUGAAUGACACCAAGUUGUUCCAAACCUUUUUGAGGAUAACUGUGACAUGGUUGGUGCUAUUGCUUUGGGUGUUGGCACAGCGUCUGGCUAUAUAUCUCUCCGUGCACUGGUCGAUUUUACUCAUUGCUUGACCCGACUCAUGCAAAGCAUCACAUUCCCAUUAUUGCCUCUGUUUCUGAGCAUCAGCCUACAGCAUGGUCCUCUUUCAUGUUUGACUACCAUAUUCUGCUCUUCCUUUUCCCUGCCGGACUUUACUUCUGUUUCAAGCGUUUGUCAGACGCCACAAUAUUUAUCGUCAUGUAUGGUCUCACUAGCUUGUACUUUGCUGGUGUCAUGGUUCGGCUUAUCUUCGUCGCCACUCCAGCAAUAUGCCUUAUUAGUGCCAUAGCAAUAUGCCUUAUUAGUGCCAUAGCUUGUACUUUGCUGGUGUCAUGGUUCGGCUUAUCUUCGUCGCCACUCCAGCAAUAUGCCUUAUUAGUGCCAUAGCUGUCUCCGCCACUGUCAAGAACUUAACAUCUCUGUUAAGGGCAAAACAAAAGGUUCCCCAGACUGGUUCUUCUAAAGGACCUGGUAGUUCAAAAGCCUCGUCAAAGGUUACACUUGAUCAGGCUCAACCUUUCCAGAAGAAUGGUGCCAUUGCUCUUCUUGUUGGAGUAUUUUAUUUGCUCAGUAGAUAUGCUAUUCACUGCACAUGGGUGACGUCAGAGGCAUAUUCAUCUCCCUCAAUUGUCCUAGCUGCAAGAGGAGCCCAUGGAAACAGAAUCAUCUUUGAUGAUUACCGCGAGGCCUACUACUGGCUUACGCAAAACACUCCCACUGAUGCUAAGGUCAUGUCGUGGUGGGACUAUGGGUACCAAAUCACUGCCAUGGGAAACAGAACUGUCAUCGUCGACAACAAUACCUGGAACAAUACUCACAUUGCUACUGUUGGACGUGCCAUGUCUUCUUAUGAAGACAAGGCAUAGGACAUCAUGAGGUCACUUGAUGUGAAUUGUGUUGGUCGUCUUUGGUGGCGUUACUAGCUAUUCUUCAGAUGAUAUCAACAAGUUCUUGUGGAUGGUGAGAAUCGGAGGUGGUGUAUACCCAGUGAUCAAGGAGCCUGAUUAUCUUGUGAAUGGUGAAUUCCGUGUAGACAAAGGUGUAUCGCCGAAGAUGCUGAACUGUCUCAUGUACAAGUUAUGCUAUUACAGGUUCGGCGAGCUUGUCACAGAAUAUGGCAAGCCAAAGGGGUAUGAUAGAGCAAGAGGGGUGGAGAUAGGGAAUAAAGAUAUCAAACUUGAACAUUUAGAAGAAGCCUACACAACAUCAAACUGGAUUGUCCGUAUUUACAGAGUCAAACCUCCCACAAACAGGUUGUGAGACACUUUUAAUGAUUCCAUCUUACAGAGUAUGGCUUUAGAUAGUGAAUAGUUUUAAGGAGGAGAUUUUUGUUGGACAUGGGUUUGUUUUCAUGCAGACUGUUUUUGUAGCUUUUUAUUACUUGAAAGUUCGGAAUAUAUUUGUAUGUUUGGUCAUCUUACAACAAGUUCUGAAAUCUAAUGAUUGAGAGCCAAUAUAAAAGUCAGUAAGUAUAGCUGUCUUGUUAAAACAGAAACAUUAUAAAUGUCAAUAAAUUAUAUCUCUCUUGUUAAAAC
Long non-coding RNA from Brassica oleracea var. oleracea, 1847 nucleotides. RefSeq lists it as uncharacterized. The record is from RefSeq and is a predicted model, not a curated record. The transcript has 6 exons. Lineage: Eukaryota; Viridiplantae; Streptophyta; Magnoliopsida; Brassicales; Brassicaceae.